AGUGAACGCUGGCGGUAGGCCUAACACAUGCAAGUCGAACGGCAGCACAGUGAGAGCUUGCUCUUACGGGUGGCGAGUGGCGGACGGGUGAGGAAUACAUCGGAAUCUACUUUUUCGUGGGGGAUAACGUAGGGAAACUUACGCUAAUACCGCAUACGACCUACGGGUGAAAGCAGGGGAUCUUCGGACCUUGCGCGAUUGAAUGAGCCGAUGUCGGAUUAGCUAGUUGGCGGGGUAAAGGCCCACCAAGGCGACGAUCCGUAGCUGGUCUGAGAGGAUGACCAGCCACACUGGAACUGAGACACGGUCCAGACUCCUACGGGAGGCAGCAGUGGGGAAUAUUGGACAAUGGGCGCAAGCCUGAUCCAGCCAUACCGCGUGGGUGAAGAAGGCCUUCGGGUUGUAAAGCCCUUUUGUUGGGAAAGAAAAGCAGCAGGUUAAUACCCCGCUGUUCUGACGGUACCCAAAGAAUAAGCACCGGCUAACUUCGUG
This 492-nucleotide ribosomal RNA is filed under the name uncultured bacterium. RNAcentral's name for it is "partial 16S ribosomal RNA". It matches the Rfam family "Bacterial small subunit ribosomal RNA", at positions 29 to 507 of the family's 1533-position model. The record is from RNAcentral.